UAGGUCGUUCCUGACUUCAGUUCUCCUCACAAGAAGACUAGCACUAUCCGUAGACAAGACAGCAUUGUGAUGAUUUUAGAACCUGGGAACGCGGCUGAAGCACCCUCCUGGACCACAGAUACUGAGGAGGACCACAAUAGAACUGUAAGAAGAGCGCCUACACUGACCGCACCUUCUGCCCUCGGGGCUGCACAAAAUCCACUGGAGACCUACGGUUUCUCCAGUGGGAAAAGAGACAAGGUGAACAUCGAGCUUCCCCAGUCUUGAGGGAUGCUUCCCAGGAGGGUCACUAGAGUCUCGCCUAAUGAGUAUCGCUGUGGGACUCUGUGGGGUUCUACCACCGGGAAUCAAAUGGAGACAGAGAAGGAGGCGGGGCUUACAACAGCCAGUACUCAGAACUCGGGGGACCGCGUGCCUGAUUGUAGUGGCGGCAGGCAGAGAUUCCAGCCAGUGGCUCUGCCCGUCCGCAGAGCCAAGUCAGUGACCCCAUCUGGCCAGGCUGCUCGGUUGGCAGUUCUGCCAGAUUUGGGUUCCCAUAAAAUGGGCUAUACUCGCCAGUGGAGCCUGGUCUACCACCCCGCCCAGGAAGGGAGGCAAAUUCGCAGCCCCGUCCAACUGUGGAGCAUAGGUUCCAGUGACGUCGAUUCCAGGAGCCUGGCCAGGGAACUAGGGCAGCCCUGGAGCCCAUUCUGCAGCCCCGCUUGGGCAGGGAGCCAAGCCAGCAGCCCUGCCCCAACUGUUGAGCAUAGUUUCUGGCCUCGCAUAACCAGGGAGCCUGAACAGUAACCCUGGGCAAACUCAGAGCCCAGCCCAGGGCACCACAGAGCUGGGGAGCCCAGCCUACAGCCCUGACCAGCAGCAGAGCAGCUUACCGCCUGCUGGAUUGCUGAAUAGUCUGAGGCCUCACCAGGCAGGGAGGCCAGCCAGUGACCUUGCCCAAUCGUGGAGCUUAGCCUGUGGCUAAACCCAAAAAAGGAGCCUGGACAGCGACCCCACGAGACCAUAGGGCACAGUCUCCAGCCCAACUUCCAGAUACAGCUGGAGGCUCCUCUGGACUGGUGAGCCAGGCCAGAGAACUUGCCCAGCAGCAGAGCACAGGCAGGGGUCUAUAGGACCUUGAACCCCCACCUACAGCUCAGUCCAACUCCUGGGUAUAGCCUGUAGCCCCACCUGAUUGCACAGCACAGCCUGAGGCCCUGCCUGUGGCCCCACAUGAAUCUGGAGUUCAGCCUGCAGCACCAUUUGGUCGGGGAACACAGCCUGAGAACCCACCCGGCCAGCAGUGAUUGUGGAGCCCAGCUCAUAGCCCUGCCCAAUCACGGAGUCCAACCAGUGGUACCCUCCUGCCAGGGAACACAGCCUGUGACCUGGUCCAACCAGAGGAAGAAGUCUACAUUGGUACGUACUGGAAGAUGAAGUGAGUUUGUUGUGGCAUGUGGGACGCUGCUUCAGCAUGGCCUGACAAGCGAUGCCGUGUCUGUGCCCAGGAUCCAAACCAGUAAAACCCCAGGCCGCCGAAGCUGAGCAUGUGAACUUAACCGCUUGGCUGCGGGGCCGGCCCCUACACCUUGUUUUAAAUGAGUUUAUCAGGUAAUGUCCUGAGAAUUUAUUUUGAUGGGGUGGAGGUAGAAAGAAUUUGAGGUCACUGGGUAUCUAGAAAGGAGGUGUUGGUGAUGGCUUAGUUCAUAGGACAAGGACUACUAAAAACAUGCUUAACCCUUUUCACCAUUUUACAAAGGACUGUUUUUGCCUUUAUAACUUUAACACAUGCCAAGCAUUUAGCCGUGUCAAUAUGAGUUUUAAUGCUGAUAAAUGUUUUUGAAACACACCAUAGUAAUGUGUUAGUGUUACAUAGAUGGGAAGGAAAAAGUUAAUUUUAGUUUAGCCUCCAAUAAAUGUUGACAAAGGAAAGAUCAGCAAGGGGGACCUUUUGCAUAUUAUCUGUC
Long non-coding RNA from Equus caballus (horse), 1946 nucleotides. The record is from Ensembl. NCBI's taxonomy places the organism in Eukaryota, Metazoa, Chordata, Mammalia, Perissodactyla, Equidae.